This 423-nucleotide ribosomal RNA is filed under the name uncultured bacterium. RNAcentral's name for it is "bacterial SSU rRNA". It matches the Rfam family "Bacterial small subunit ribosomal RNA", at positions 27 to 458 of the family's 1533-position model. The record is from RNAcentral.
GAAUCAACGCUGGCGGCGCGCUUAACACAAUGCAAGUCGAACGAGAAAGCCGGGGCAACCUGGUGAGUAAAGUGGCGUACGGGUGAGUAACACGUGGAUCAUCUACCCUGGAGUGGGGAAUAACGCUGGGAAACCGGCGCUAAUACCGCAUAAUCCCGAGAGGGCAAAGGGAAGCAAUUCCGUUUCAGGAGGAGUCUGCGGCCGAUUAGCUUGUUGGCAGGGUAAAAGCCUACCAAGGCAUCGAUCGGUAGCCGGCCUGAGAGGGCACACGGCCACACUGGCACUGAAACACGGGCCAGACUCCUACGGGAGGCAGCAGUGGGGAAUCUUGCACAAUGGGGGCAACCCUGAUGCAGCGACGCCGCGUGAGCGAUGAAGCUCCUCGGAGUGUAAAGCUCUUUCGGCAGGGAAGAUUAUGACGUA